RNAcentral lists this long non-coding RNA (368 nucleotides) under Rattus norvegicus (Norway rat). RNAcentral's name for it is "long non-coding RNA NONRATT014452". Lineage: Eukaryota; Metazoa; Chordata; Mammalia; Rodentia; Muridae. The record is from RNAcentral.
CUGGGGCAAGGUGGCUGACCUGGCCAUCUGCAAUGACCAGCUGGUGAGGGCUAACUCACCCACCACCUACCCUCCCCCUCAUGCUCCCACCAAAAGAGCCUCCCAGGGUCUGGGCCCACUCCAUACCAACUCUACCAUGUCCUGCAGAUAGGUGUGGCUUUCUCCCAGAGUAAUGUCUCCUCUUAUGUGGUGGACCUGACAAGAGUCACCAGGACAGGAACUGUGACCCAGGACCCUGUGCAAGCUAGCCAGCCUCAGACACAACAGACCCCUAACCCUGGUGUCUCCCUUCGCCGCAUCUACGAGCGGCCCAGCACAACCUGCAGCAAGCCUCAGAGGUGGGUGCUGAUGGCCCCGGCAGGAUGUGU